AUGGGUGGACCUGAUCAGCCAUGCCGCGUGUGUGAAGAAGGCCUUAUGGUUGUAAAGCACUUUAAGCGAGGAGGAGGCUACUUUAGUUAAUACCUAGAGAUAGUGGACGUUACUCGCAGAAUAAGCACCGGCUAACUCUGUGCCAGCAGCCGCGGUAAU
Molecule: ribosomal RNA, 159 nt
Filed under: Acinetobacter sp.
Lineage: Bacteria; Pseudomonadati; Pseudomonadota; Gammaproteobacteria; Moraxellales; Moraxellaceae
Description: partial 16S ribosomal RNA
Rfam family: Bacterial small subunit ribosomal RNA
Source: RNAcentral